RNAcentral lists this ribosomal RNA (292 nucleotides) under uncultured bacterium. Its description in RNAcentral is "partial 16S ribosomal RNA". The record is from RNAcentral.
GGCGCAUUAGCUAGUUGGUGGGGUAAUGGCCUACCAAGGCGACGAUGCGUAGCCGACCCAGGCUAAAAGCCUUGAGAUGUGAUGUUAGUGGCCCGCUGUUGGCAGCCGGUACUGAAUACAGAAACAAAGCGAUCGCUCUUUGAAAAAAAGGGCGAUCGCUUUGUUAUUUGUCAUAUCAUUUCUGGUUACACCGGAAUGAUGUUGACUGUUGACUGUUGACAGUGAACAGUGAACAGUGAACAGUGAACUCGAAUUUACUAUUCUGAUGCUAACGGAUUUGAUCUCAGUUGAC